AACCUGCUGCUGGAUCAUUACCCAAGUGA
Molecule: ribosomal RNA, 29 nt
Filed under: Hoplolaimus galeatus
Lineage: Eukaryota; Metazoa; Nematoda; Chromadorea; Rhabditida; Hoplolaimidae
Also listed under: 7 other names
Description: partial 18S ribosomal RNA
Source: RNAcentral